This 413-nucleotide ribosomal RNA is filed under the name uncultured bacterium. Its description in RNAcentral is "bacterial SSU rRNA". It matches the Rfam family "Bacterial small subunit ribosomal RNA", at positions 355 to 794 of the family's 1533-position model. The record is from RNAcentral.
UCGAGAAUCUUCGGCAAUGGGGGAAACCCUGACCGAGCGACGUCGCGUGGUGGAUGAAGGCCUUCGGGUUGUAAACACCUGUUGGGGGGAAACGUGAACCCCUGAGGAAGCACGGGCUAAGUUCGUGCCAGCAGCCGCGGUAAGACGAACCGUGCAAACGUUACUCGGAAUCACUGGGCUUAAAGCGCACGUAGGCGGCGACAUAAGUUAGAGGUGAAAUCCCAUCGCUCAACCGUGGAACGCCUCUAAUACUGUGUUGCUUGAGGGAGAACGGGGCAUUCGGAACUUCCGGUGGAGCGGUGAAAUGUGUUGAUAUCGGAAGGAACGCCGGUGGCGAAAGCGGAAUGCUGGGUCUCUUCUGACGCUGAGGUGCGAAAGCUAGGGUAGCGAACGGGAUUAGAUACCCCAGUAGU